Long non-coding RNA from Anas platyrhynchos (mallard), 4277 nucleotides. RefSeq lists it as uncharacterized. Lineage: Eukaryota; Metazoa; Chordata; Aves; Anseriformes; Anatidae. The record is from RefSeq and is a predicted model, not a curated record.
UCUUAGGGAGAAGCUAAAUAGAUAUAUCCCAGCUUUCAGAUAUUUAAGCUACUCUGCUUCAUGGAGAUUACUUAAAUCAAAUAAUUAAUUGUUAAGAGAAAAGCUACUUUCCUUACUAAUCAAACUUCAUCCUAAAGAUGCAUCUUAAUGAAUGGGCUAAGUCAACUCGUUGUGUGAGAGGGAUUGCUCUUGAAAAUUUAUUUCUUGCCUAAAAGCUAUGUGCUAUGUUCCACCUGAAGGACUGCUGUUCUCUUCCUUAGUCUAGUUACCAGUCAUGGAAUAUUCUUUCUGCUGUGAUACACAUAGAAAGAAGGUUCAUGUUGGACUGUUCUGUAAAAUCUUUCCAUGAAAUGCUAGAACUUUAGUGUUUGCUCCAGGAAAAGGAAAAAAAGUUACCCGUCACAAACUGCAUAAAAGCAUAGAAAUAGCUCUGCUGUUCUGAGGAUUCAGCGUGGGCUUAUUGUAGAGCUUAAUGGCUGAGUUACCCAAUCAUAAUGAGCUACUGUGUACAUCAGCUGAGCAUGAUAAAGCACUCCUAAUGCGUCUACAAUGCAAGGGUCUCUCAGUGAAGAAAGUUCUGUUCCUGUUACAAGCUAAGAACUUCAGCUUAGAGUGUGAGUCAAUUGUUUGGAGGAAGCAGUUAAACACCUGCUUGACUUUUGCCAUGUAGAGCAACUCCUCGCAUUUCAGUGGUGUGAGAUCAGACUCUUGACUACAUAUUUUUUCAUCUGUCUUACCUCAUUUUGGUCCCUUUUUGUCUGCACUGCAGGCAGCUGGAGUAAUAGCAGGAAAUGUAUUACGGAAGUGCAGACUACCUGGGAUCAGGACCUUGUUGCCCUGCAGUAUUUGUGUGUUGGCAGCCUGAAGAAAUAGUGACAAGACGCAGGAAUUUCAGGCAAAAAGAACUGACGUAGCUUCCUAAGUCAUGUGGCUGUGACAAAUCCAUUGCGUUAUUGAGUCUGAGGCUCCAGGAAACGAGAACAGAAAGGAUAGCGGGAUGAGGAACAGUCACCGAUCAUUGUCUCUCUGGGUGCAGUUAUUGGCACCAUCCUUACUUCUAGGAAUGACAUUUCCACCUCUCCUCCAUACAUUCACUUGUCUUUGUUCACAAUCUGUUCCUGCCCCAUCACAGAUUUAAUGACUGUUCUGGGAAAGGAGAUGUACACACACAGAUGCACAUCUACAUUUAUGCACAUAUAUUACCACACACACAUGCAUUAUAUGUGUGGCUUCUGAGCUCAUCAGGUUAGCUCAGGCCUGUGCCCAUUGCUUCUGCUGCUCCUUUGUCCCUGCACUUCUUGAGGGACAUCUAAUAGCACAUUUAUAGUGGUCCUAGUUCUGUGUUUUGCAGUUUAUAACAUGCUCUUUGUCAGGUACAAAGGAGAUGGUGAUUAUCAAUCAUUACCGUGUGGACUGGUGGAAGGGGGGACCAGUUCCCCUAGACACACAGAACACUGACAUGAGUUGCUUUGUAUGAGGGAGCCCUCCUGGGCAGUGCGGCAUUGAGAUUACCACAGGUAUAUCCCUCAGUAAAUUUAAUCCUACGUUCACAAGUUCAGUGCUGUUUGCAGGCAAGGCAAAUAUGUUCCUUCAGUAUGUGGGGAGAAAAUCCGUGCUUACUGAUAUAGAAGUACAAAACAGUGUUGGCACAAGGAUUUCUGAAUCUAUUGAGAGUCCUAUCUUGUACUGUUGUAUGAUAAUAGCUGGAAAAUAGUAACUUUGCACUUGAUGGAAAAACAUAUUGUAGAGCUUAAUGAAAUUUCAUCAUGCACUUUUAAUUGAUUUCAGCAAGGGAGACCUUUUCAAAGCAAAUAUUGCUAUUAAUCUAAUUAGUGCUUUAGCUAAUAUACUGAAAUUAUAUUCGUAUAUCAAUAUAUCAAACAAAUAUUUGUACAAGAUACGCAUUUCAAUGACUACUCAGCUGAAAUGAACAAAUUAACUCCUUUGAUUAUAAGGGCCUUGCUUCCUAUAGCUGUACUUUGCAAUUGAUUUUCCUGUGUGAGUGCUUAAAUUCGGCCAUGAAACCACAGUUAAUCCAAAAUAAACAGCUUCCCCCCACCCACCAGUGAUCUGUGCACCUGUACAAUCGAGCAAUAGUGCUUGUUGACAGAAAGCUGUGUUUUGUCAGGGCCUUGCUAAUGGAUCUAAGUCACUGGGUGAGCAUGGCAAGAUCCUUUUGGAAUUGAGCAUUGGUUGUCUUUGUGCUAUUUCCAUUUCAGGAUAAGAGAAAACUGGGUUAUAGUUGCACAACAUGACAUGUCCUGGUACGUUGGUCUUUACACUGUCCAGCAUGUGAACACAUUUUCCUUUUCUUUGAAGCAACCAAGAUGGUGUUGAGUUGUGGAUAUUAUUCCUACAUAGAGCCAGGACAAGGCUGAGACCUGGUGCUCAGAUGUUUUCCAGGGUUUGCUACUUUGGGUAUAUAUCUGUUUUCACUAGUCUUGAAUGCUACUGGACAGCUCUCAGGAAUAUAAGGAAAAAUUAUCAUAUAUAGUUGUAAGUCCUUACUUGGCUCUUUGUCAGCCUCUGUGCAAAUGCAGAAUUCCAUUGAGGCAGGAAUGAGUUUGAUCCUAUGCCCAUUCAAAUCUGUGGCAAAGCUUUUAGCAAGGUGCAAGGAUCAGGCACAUAGGUCAGGAUUUCAGGGAGGACUUAAGUUCUGCCCCUGUCUGCACUGAGUGCAAUCCAGUGCUUUGGUGCCAGACCUUUAGAGCCCAAGUAUAAUAAAUAAGGAUAGUUAGACACUUCAAAAUGGGAUCCAAAACAGCCAGCAGGCUCAAGUGCAAAGUACCAGCUAAAGGUACUGACCACAAGAAUAAGUCUGAAAUUUUACCACUUUCUUGGACUAGGGCACCAGACUCAAAUACUCCAAUCAAACAUGACACUGUGCACUCAUUUGAUAUUGUGAAGAGAGUCCAGAGACCUGACGUCUCUCCUGCUGCUGAGUAUCCACAGCUUUGGUCCCAAAGUGCUGAACAGGAUUCAUACCUCUCUUCGAAUAUUUGUCCAAAGGAGCUUAUAUUCUCACACUAUACAACACCUUAGUGGCUGGAGCUCAUUCAAGAUCUGGAAGAUCCAAGUCCAGUGUCCAACUUUGCUUCAUGUGUUCUUACCAUCACCAAGGGAAGUGUAGGAACAUUCUCCACUGCUCCUGCAAAAACUAUUCUCCUAGUCAGGCCGUAACUCAAAAGAACCAUAGAGGGCACAUAAUGAAAUUUCUCUGUAGCCUCGUGGUUAGGAAACACAGCCGAGGAGGAGGAAUCCAAGGUUUUGAUCCCCAUUUCUAGGACUGUUCACAUAAUUUAUUGCUUGACAUAAAGCUCAGGAGAAAAAGGACUAGAUCUCAGGACUCCUGCUUCUCAGGUAAGUAAAUCCUUUCCAGGUCCCAUCUUUGGUACCCAAAACCUUCAUCAGAUUUCUAGCAGUUUUGAAAUUCAAAGUUUUUCACAAGGCUAUGGAUCUUCCCUGUACCUAUGAUAGGUGUACCAUCUGAAAAUUAAUGGGUUCCAUCUUUGGACAGAAAAGUUACUUCCAUUUUUCUAUACAAAUGCAACUUUUGUUUUGAAUCUUUCUUCAAGUUCUGUGUGAAGUCAUUCUACCUCAAAGGGAAUUAACUCUUAUGUUGAACUUUAGUGUAGUUAUGGCAGUUCUCAUGGGUUCUCUGUUGUGACUCAUAGUAUCAUGUUCUUUUUGUGUGUGUGUCUAGUGAGUAGUUGGCAAAUUCUCCCCAGCUAUGGCAUUAAAAAAAAAAAAAAAAAAAGCAACAACCACAAACGCUGUACUUGAACUGGGUAGAAUUUAAGAAUCCCAGCUGCUUAUGGCUGAGGUUACUGCCAUCCCAGUAUACAUUGGAUGGGACUGUAAAAAGGAAUAACUGAUGGAAAUGUUGGAUAGAAACUGGGAUGAAAGCAGAUGAAUAGAAGGGAUGAAAAGCAGAACGUGAAACGAACAUACCUGUACAGAAUCCUGAAAGAAACAAUCCAUGUUGGGAAUUUUAUUCCUUUUGCAUAGUGCCAAAUGAUUUGUUACUUCUGCCUAGAAAAGCUAGAGCUCUAUUUUUUGGGAGUGCUGAAAAUAUAGAAACUUCUCAUUGUAGUUGGAGUCCUGCAGUGACAUUUCAGGUAGCAGUUGCUUGAACUGCCUGUGUGAAAACUCUGCUCUGCUAUAUGUUAUAGAAAAGAAAUUGUAAUUAAGAAAAUGCACAUUAGCUAACUCUUUUUUUCAAUGAGUUCCAAUACCAUAGAUCACUAAAAAUGAAAAACAAUAAAUGUCAAAUCACA